This 433-nucleotide ribosomal RNA is filed under the name uncultured bacterium. RNAcentral describes it as "partial 16S ribosomal RNA". It matches the Rfam family "Bacterial small subunit ribosomal RNA", at positions 29 to 507 of the family's 1533-position model. The record is from RNAcentral.
AGCGAACGCUGGCGGCAGGCCUAACACAUGCAAGUCGAACGGACCCUUCGGGGUUAGUGGCGGACGGGUGAGUAACACGUGGGAACGUGCCUUUAGGUUCGGAAUAGCUCCUGGAAACGGGUGGUAAUGCCGAAUGUGCCCUUCGGGGGAAAGAUUUAUCGCCUUUAGAGCGGCCCGCGUCUGAUUAGCUAGUUGGUGAGGUAACGGCUCACCAAGGCGACGAUCAGUAGCUGGUCUGAGAGGAUGACCAGCCACACUGGGACUGAGACACGGCCCAGACUCCUACGGGAGGCAGCAGUGGGGAAUCUUGCGCAAUGGGCGAAAGCCUGACGCAGCCAUGCCGCGUGAAUGAUGAAGGUCUUAGGAUUGUAAAAUUCUUUCACCGGGGACGAUAAUGACGGUACCCGGAGAAGAAGCUCCGGCUAACUUCGUG